RNAcentral lists this ribosomal RNA (255 nucleotides) under uncultured bacterium. Its description in RNAcentral is "partial 16S ribosomal RNA". It matches the Rfam family "Bacterial small subunit ribosomal RNA", at positions 524 to 776 of the family's 1533-position model. The record is from RNAcentral.
UACGUAGGCAGCGAGCGUUGUUCGGAGUUACUGGGCGUAAAGCGUGCGUAGGCGGUGUCUUAAGUUUGUUGUGAAAUCGUCCCGGCUUAACCCGGGAGGGUGCGGCGAAUACUGAGAUGCUGGAGUGCCGGAGAGGUAAGCGGAAUUCCUGGUGUAGCGGUGAAAUGCGUAGAUAUCAGGAGGAACACCUGCGGUGUAGACGGCUUACUGGACGGUAACUGACGCUGAGGCACGAAAGCGUGGGUAGCAAACAGG